CACUCACUCACUCACUCACUCAGACUGAUCUGGACCAGGACCCAGACUGAGUCUGUUCAGGUGGAGUCAGAUUCUGAGGCGGUGACGCUUGAGUUGAUGAAACUUGUUUAAACAGUUUUAAUGUUGAAUGUGUUUGAACUGACCUCAGAUCAGAUCAGAUCAGAUCAGAGUCACUGUCUCAGUUUUCCUCUCUGAUCCUCUGAGAGUCUCUGACAGUUGAUCUGUUCUGUUUGAACCUCACAGGAUUUUAGAGGAAUCUUUAUUCAACACAGAAACAGACAGGUGUUUGAUGACCAUCAGAGUCAGAGUCCAGGUCAGAGUCCAGAUCAGAGUCAGAGUCAGAGUCCAGGUCAGAGUCAGAGUCCAGGUCAGAGUCAGAGUCAGAGUCCAGGUCAGAGUCAGAGUCAGAGUCCAGAUCAGAGUCCAGGUCAGAGUCAGAGUCAGAGUCCAGAUCAGAGUCAGAGUCCAGGUCAGAGAGAUCCUGUCAGAUUAUCUGCAGUCUGUGUCAGAGUGAACAGACUGUAGACAGAGACAGAGACAGAGACAGAGAACAGUGUUUUCAGUGGUCUCUGCUCAGACGUCUGUUUCCUGAGCUCCAGGACGAGCUGAGAGUCAGAGUGAGUUCCUCAGCAGCUGUAGAGUCUCUAACUGAGCUGAUCACCGUUCAUUCAGGAUCAGGAUCAGGAUCAGGCAUUAAACUGCAGACGCUCUGUGAAACCUCCUGUUUCUGUCUGUGUUAAUCCUGAAGCAGAGCAGAGCUCUCUGUCCAUUCAACACCACGUCCACUUCACUGCCUGUAGGAAACUUCAUCCACAGGAAGUUUCUAAAAUCUGCAGAUUUGACAGAAGAAAAGUCUGAAGUGAACUGGAUCUGGAUCUGGAUCAGAGUCCUUCAGUGAUCAGGUUCAGGAGGGUUUAAAAAAACUUUAUUUAUAACUUUUUCAACCAAACGUCACAAACUCAACAACGACUGAGCACGAGACAAAUAAACCAAACAACAACAAGAAAAAUAAAAAGACAACAACAACAACAACAACAACAGCUGUUCAGAGCUGAAUCAGGACAGAGAGUAAAACCUUUUUAAAGAGCUCUUCUUCUUCUUCUUCUUCUUCUUCUUCUUCUUCUUCUUCUUCUUCCUCUGACCAUUCACCAACACUUUAUCUAAUAAUUAUUAUUCAUUAUAACACAGACCUAUAAAGACCUGAUCCUCCUUCAGCUGUAACAUUCAGGCUCCAUCUCUACCUGAACUGAUUAAACCUCUUCUAUCAGAUUCUACUUCUACUCUGAUUCUGCUUUAUUAUCUCUUCACGUUCUCAGUGGAAAAUGUUUUUCUUUGUACAUCACCAUUAAACCCUGAACCUCUCUGAGGUGAUCUAUUGAAUCAGCCUCACGGUGUAGAAACAGUGGAUGUUUCCUGUGACUGUGUGUUAGAUUGACAUCACCUGUUACCUGCUCAGGUGACCUCUGUCCACAGGAAGUGACCUCAUGUUACAGACUUUAUAUUAAAUGACAGUUUUCAGCAGUUCAGGAUCUCCACCAUCACCUGUGGUUGGAGUGAAAUGCAUGCUGGGUAUUGUCUCUGUCCAUAUUAGUGUAUUCAGUGUGUGAACCUACGGUGGCUGACGAGGCCAAACUGCUGCAGUUUGAUAUUAUCAUUUAUUCUGUGUUUUAUUUUCCUGCUGUGUCACUUCCUGUUUUAUUUUGGUAAUUAUUUGUGGCUGUCGUUUGUGCUCUGACUUCCUGUCAUGUGUUUGUGGUAAAACACUAAACCCUCUGGACUCUGACCUGGAGCAGGACUCAGACUCUCAGACUCUGACUGCUCCUGUUUCACAUGAACAAACUCUGCAGGUUGAACCUGUUUAGACUCAGUGUGAAUGAUGAGUGUCCUGCAGCGCCCCCCUGUGGUCUCUGUGAGUCAGAGCAGGGCUCAGGUUCAACAGUCACAUGUUUAUUUAACCCAGCUUCAUCAGCACCAGGUGAAACUGCUGAGUCUGGUUUCCUGUCCAACACAGAACCAUCAGUCAGUAACAGGAAACAACAUGAACACUGACUGAACUAAGACGAGGAGAGAAAGAAGAGCUGUUAAUGAUCCAGUAAAGAUACAGAUCAGAGGAAACUCGACUCAUCCAUUCAUAUGAAAACUGAUAUUAGACCAGAGUCCUGGUCUCAGCAGCAGCUGGGUCAGGGUGAGUCCAGUGAACAGGUCAGUCCAGCUACAGGAAGCUCUGAGGGUCAAACUGAACCUGACACAGUUCAGGGUAAAGUCUCAGAUCAACCAGUUUCUCCAGCACAACAACACACCACUGACACACACACCACUGACACACACACACUGACACACAUGUAGUAAUGUGCAAAACAGAACUCAGUGUUUUCAGGUAUGGAUCAGCUGUGACCUCUGACCCUCAGUGUCCUCUGUCCCUCAGUGUCCU
Lates calcarifer (barramundi perch) is the source of this 2431-nucleotide long non-coding RNA. RefSeq lists it as uncharacterized. The transcript has 3 exons. NCBI's taxonomy places the organism in Eukaryota, Metazoa, Chordata, Actinopteri, Centropomidae. The record is from RefSeq and is a predicted model, not a curated record.